Molecule: ribosomal RNA, 379 nt
Filed under: uncultured fungus
Lineage: Eukaryota; Fungi
Description: eukaryotic LSU rRNA
Rfam family: Eukaryotic large subunit ribosomal RNA
Source: RNAcentral
UUCGACGAGUCGAGUUGUUUGGGAAUGCAGCUCAAAAUGGGUNGUAAAUNUCAUCUAAAGCUAAAUAUUGGCCAGAGACCGAUAGCGCACAAGUAGAGUGAUCGAAAGAUGAAAAGCACUUUGGAAAGAGAGUUAAACAGUACGUGAAAUUGUUGAAAGGGAAGCGCUUGCAACCAGACUCGCAUGCCGUCGAUCCUCCUGGGUUCUCCCUGGUGCACUCGGCGGUAUUCGGGCCAGCAUCGGUUUGGGUGGUGGGAUAAAGGCCUUUGGGAAUGUAGCUCCUCUUUCGGGGAGUGUUAUAGCCCUCGGUGCAAUGCUGCCUACCUGGACCGAGGACCGCGCUUCGGCUAGGAUGCUGGCGUAAUGGUUGUAAGCGACC